Molecule: ribosomal RNA, 301 nt
Filed under: uncultured bacterium
Lineage: Bacteria
Description: partial 16S ribosomal RNA
Rfam family: Bacterial small subunit ribosomal RNA
Source: RNAcentral
CAGUCGCCACGGGAAUACGUAGGGUGCGAGCGUUAAUCGGGAUUACUGGGCGUAAAGCGUGCGCAGGCGGUUUUGUAAGACAGGCGUGAAAUCCCCGGGCUCAACCUGGGAAUGGCGCUUGUGACUGCAAAGCUAGAGUGCGGCAGAGGGGGAUGGAAUUCCGCGUGUAGCAGUGAAAUGCGUAGAUAUGCGGAGGAACACCGAUGGCGAAGGCAAUCCCCUGGGCCUGCACUGACGCUCAUGCACGAAAGCGUGGGGAGCAAACAGGAUUAGAUACCCGUGUAGUCCCUGUCUCUUAUAC